Molecule: non-coding RNA, 74 nt
Organism: Schistocerca cancellata (South American locust)
Lineage: Eukaryota; Metazoa; Arthropoda; Insecta; Orthoptera; Acrididae
Source: the annotation of a RefSeq genome assembly
GCCCGGGUGGCCGAGCGGUUCUAGGCGCUACAGUCUGGCUGUAAUGGUCGCAGGUUCGAAUCCUGCCUCGGGCA